CACGUAGUUAGCCGUGGCUUUCUGGUUAGGUACCGUCAAGAUGUGCACAGUUACUUACACAUUUGUUCUUCCCUAACAACAGAGCUUUACGAUCCGAAGACCUUCAUCACUCACGCGGCGUUGCUCCGUCAGGCUUUCGCCCAUUGCGGAAGAUUCCCUACUGCUGCCUCCCGUAGGAGUCUGGACCGUGUCUCAGUUCCAGUGUGGCCGAUCACCCUCUCAGGUCGGCUACGUAUCGUCGCCUUGGUAGGCCGUUACCCCACCAACUAGCUAAUACGGCGCGGGUCCAUCUAUAAGUGACAGCAAGACCGUCUUUCACUGUAGAACCAUGCGGUUCAACAUGUUAUCCGGCAUUAGCCCCGGUUUCCCGGAGUUAUUCCAGUCUUAUAGGUAGGUUACCCACGUGUUACUCACCCGUCCGCCGCUAACGUCAAAGGAGCAAGCUCCUUAUCUGUUCGCUCGACUUGCAUGUAUUAGGCACGCCGCCAGCGUUCAUCCUGAGCCAGGAUCAAA
This 513-nucleotide ribosomal RNA is filed under the name uncultured Staphylococcus sp. RNAcentral's name for it is "partial 16S ribosomal RNA". Lineage: Bacteria; Bacillati; Bacillota; Bacilli; Caryophanales; Staphylococcaceae. The record is from RNAcentral.